This 510-nucleotide ribosomal RNA is filed under the name uncultured bacterium. Its description in RNAcentral is "partial 16S ribosomal RNA". It matches the Rfam family "Bacterial small subunit ribosomal RNA", at positions 28 to 507 of the family's 1533-position model. The record is from RNAcentral.
GACGAACGCUGGCGGCGUGCUUAACACAUGCAAGUCGAACGAAGAGCGACGGAAGCUUGCUUCUAUCAAUCUUAGUGGCGAACGGGUGAGUAACGCGUAAUCAACCUGCCCUUCAGAGGGGGACAACAGUUGGAAACGACUGCUAAUACCGCAUACGAUCUAACCUCGGCAUCGAGGAUAGAUGAAAGGUGGCCUCUACAUGUAAGCUAUCACUGAAGGAGGGGAUUGCGUCUGAUUAGCUAGUUGGAGGGGUAACGGCCCACCAAGGCGAUGAUCAGUAGCCGGUCUGAGAGGAUGAACGGCCACAUUGGGACUGAGACACGGCCCAGACUACUACGGGAGGCAGCAGUGGGGAAUCUUCCGCAAUGGACGAAAGUCUGACGGAGCAACGCCGCGUGAGUGAUGACGGCCGUCGGGUUGUAAAGCUCUGUUAAUCGGGACGAAAGGCCUUCUUGCGAAUAGUGAGAAGGAUUGACGGUACCGGAAUAGAAAGCCACGGCUAACUACGUG